GAUGAACGCUGGCGGCGUGCCUAAUACAUGCAAGUCGAGCGAACAGACGAGGAGCUUGCUCCUUUGAUGUUAGCGGCGGACGGGUGAGUAACACGUAGGUAACCUACCUAUAAGACUGGGAUAACUUCGGGAAACCGGAGCUAAUACCGGAUAAUAUUUUGAACCGCAUGGUUCGAUAGUGAAAGAUGGCUUUGCUAUCACUUAUAGAUGGACCUGCGCCGUAUUAGCUAGUUGGUAAGGUAACGGCUUACCAAGGCAACGAUACGUAGCCGACCUGAGAGGGUGAUCGGCCACACUGGAACUGAGACACGGUCCAGACUCCUACGGGAGGCAGCAGUAGGGAAUCUUCCGCAAUGGGCGAAAGCCUGACGGAGCAACGCCGCGUGAGUGAUGAAGGUCUUCGGAUCGUAAAACUCUGUUAUUAGGGAAGAACAAACGUGUAAGUAAUUGUGCACGUCUUGACGGUACCUAAUCAGAAAGCCACGGCUAACUACGUG
Molecule: ribosomal RNA, 497 nt
Filed under: uncultured bacterium
Lineage: Bacteria
Description: partial 16S ribosomal RNA
Rfam family: Bacterial small subunit ribosomal RNA
Source: RNAcentral